AANAACCCAAUCUCAGAAGGAGGAGGUAGAGACGAAAAAUAACAAUACGGGACUAUUAAUAGGCCCCGUAAUUGGAAUGAGUACAAUAUAAAUCCUUUAACGAGGAUCUAUUGGAGGGCAAGUCUGGUGCCAGCAGCCGCGGUAAUUCCAGCUCCAAUANCGUAUAUNAAAGUUGCUGCGUUUAAAAAGCUCGUAGUUGUAUCUCAGUUUAUGUCAAUUUGUCAACCAGUUAUCACUGAUUACUUUUUGACUAAACAUUGAACCGAUUUGUUUUCUGAUGCUCUUUACCGAGUGUUAUUAACGAUCGGGAUCUUUACUUUGAAAAAAUUAAAGUGCUCAAAGCAGGCAUCUCGCCUAAAUAUUCUUGCAUGGAAUAAUGGAAUAAGAUCUAGGUUCUAUUCUGUUGGUCUUUUGAACCUCAGUUAAUGAUUAAAAGGGACAGACGGGGGCAUUCGUAUUGCGGCGCUUGAGGUGAAAUUCUUGGACCGUC
This 490-nucleotide ribosomal RNA is filed under the name Demodex gatoi. RNAcentral describes it as "SSU rRNA". It matches the Rfam family "Eukaryotic small subunit ribosomal RNA", at positions 439 to 929 of the family's 1831-position model. Lineage: Eukaryota; Metazoa; Arthropoda; Arachnida; Trombidiformes; Demodicidae. The record is from RNAcentral.